RNAcentral lists this non-coding RNA (30 nucleotides) under Homo sapiens (human). The record is from RNAcentral. Lineage: Eukaryota; Metazoa; Chordata; Mammalia; Primates; Hominidae.
UGGUCACCGUGUCUGUUCUGAUUGGUCGGU